Molecule: unclassified non-coding RNA, 352 nt
Filed under: soil metagenome
Description: partial contains 5.8S ribosomal RNA, internal transcribed spacer 2, and large subunit ribosomal RNA
Rfam family: 5.8S ribosomal RNA (bases 1-120)
Source: RNAcentral
GAUGAAGAACGUAGUGAAAUGCGAUAAGUAAUGUGAAUUGCAGAAUUCAGUGAAUCAUCGAAUCUUUGAACGCACAUUGCGCCCGCCAGUAUUCUGGCGGGCAUGCCUGUUCGAGCGUCAUUACAACCCUCAGGCCCCCGGGCCUGGCGUUGGAGAUCGGCGGAAGCCCCCUGUGGGCACACGCCGUCCCUCAAAUACAGUGGCGGUCCCGCCGCAGCUUCCAUUGCGUAGUAGCUAACACCUCGCAACUGGAGAGCGGCGCGGCCAUGCCGUAAAACACCCAACUUCUGAAUGUUGACCUCGAAUCAGGUAGGAAUACCCGCUGAACUUAAGCAUAUCAAUAAGCGGAGGA